GUGGGGAAUCUUAGACAAUGGGCGCAAGCCUGAUCUAGCCAUGCCGCGUGAGCGAUGACGGCCUUAGGGUUGUAAAGCUCUUUCAGGGGGGAAGAUAAUGACGGUACCCCCAGAAGAAGCCCCGGCUAACUCCGUGCCAGCAGCCGCGGUAAUACGGAGGGGGCUAGCGUUGUUCGGAAUUACUGGGCGUAAAGCGCACGUAGGCGGACCAGAAAGUCAGGGGUGAAAUCCCGGGGCUCAACCCCGGAACUGCCUUUGAAACUCCUGGUCUUGAGGUCGAGAGAGGUGAGUGGAAUUCCGAGUGUAGAGGUGAAAUUCGUAGAUAUUCGGAGGAACACCAGUGGCGAAGGCGGCUCACUGGCUCGAUACUGACGCUGAGGUGCGAAAGCGUGGGGAGCAAACAGGAUUAGAAACCCUUGUAGUCC
Molecule: ribosomal RNA, 425 nt
Filed under: uncultured bacterium
Lineage: Bacteria
Description: partial 16S ribosomal RNA
Rfam family: Bacterial small subunit ribosomal RNA
Source: RNAcentral